RNAcentral lists this long non-coding RNA (1987 nucleotides) under Marmota monax (woodchuck). The record is from RNAcentral. Lineage: Eukaryota; Metazoa; Chordata; Mammalia; Rodentia; Sciuridae.
CUGUGUUGGGGUGUUUUCUUCUUUGUAGCCAAAAGCCACCUACCAUGAUUCUGUCCUAAAAUUGGAAAAAUAAGAGGACCAGAGAGGGCAAUAUAACUUUUUCUCACGCAUGCCUGGUGCAGUUCAUGGAGUUUUCUGCCUGGUCCUUUUAAGCACUGAGUUUGCGGCUCCUGUCCUCAGCCCCUGGGAUCGCAUCACUGAAGACUUCAUGCAGGUGACUUACCCCUUUGUUGGGUGUACUUGCAAUAUACUUGCAGUAUACUGGAGAGUAAUUGUGUGAGUGCCUUGCAACUGAAAUAAUCAAACAAGUGACCUACCGGAACAGCAGGCAGCUUUGUCUUGAAAGCAUGUGGUUGCAGGUGGCUGCUCAUCUCCAGGACCUGCAAAAUGCACUGAAAUUGGAAAUGCACUGCUGGCUCUAGAAUUCACAGCCUUUCAUUUUUCCGAUGGCAACUGUCUUAUUCCUGAUCCUUGUCCUUUGCAGAUCUCAGAAGGAUGCUGUUUGCUGUGACGAAUUCAGGAACCCAUUAGGGUUUGCCUAACUUUGACUUUUUCAUGACAUCUGUGCUUGUUGCUUCACAUUCCGGGUGAUUGCACACCCCUGGCUGCCGGACGGUUGCAUCCCCUGAUUCACAGUUUCGACUUCCUCAAAGCUCUGGUUCCCGAGCAGCCAUCGUGGAUCCUGUAUCACCCAUCCACUGAACUCCUACCCAGAAGUCAUGUCUGAGGGCUCAACCGCAGCCCAGCACUUCUGCCUGCCUGGACUUCCCAGUUGCUGGGGAGCAGCGCAGACAGGUCAAGCUCAUCUUCCCCCAUCAGGACAGCACACAGUCAUAGGCCUCGUAGAAGCAGAAAAAUGCCAGAGUGAAGUAAGUCAAGAGAGCCAAGCAGUGGAGGGGAGCCAGUCUCACAUCUUGGGCCCAAUCAGGGCCACAUGAAGCUCUGUGUGUUGAGUCAGCACUCAGGAUACCUUGGGCUUGUUUGUACAGAGGAUAUGAGACUGUAUGGUCAAGGAGAUGGAUUCUGAUUUGACAUUUUGUGUGUGUGGGGUGCACUAAUUUUGAGCCUGUGAGUAGAAACCUCUACUUCUUGGGUACCUUUUCUCCCAUGUUUUAAAGACCCAUAAGAUAUCUGCACGUAUCAGGCAUUCACCCAUAGGAGGGGGCAGUGAUAGAAGGGAGAGCAAGAGAGUAAGUGAAAGAAAAGGAACUUGUACUUCUAUAGCAAGGAGGCAACCUGUUACCAAUUGUGCGAGCACACCUGCCCACUCAGCUAACUUCCACUUUUAAACUUCUCCGUCACCUUAGUCUAUAUUGCAAUCAUAAAACAGAUCAUUGGUAGCUGUAAACACACUCACUCUGUGGGUUUGGCCUACAGGAGCGAUCAGGGUGAUGGAUACAGUGGACAAGGCUGGAGCAAGAGCUUGGAAUAACUCAGCCCACAACGAUGAAGGGGUUUCAGGUCCCUGGGGAAAGAACUAGUUGUUUAGUAAAUUCUGUUGGAAAAAGUGACUGAAUGUGUGGGAUAAAUAGGCUUCACAAUUUAUUCCAACGUAAAUUCCAAAUGGAUUAAAUACUAAAAGAUGGGCUGGGGAUACGGCUCAAGCGGUAGCGCACUCGCCUGGCAUGCGUGCGGCCCGGGUUCGAUCCUCAGCACCACAUACCAACAAUAGAUGUUGUGUCCGCCGAGAACUAAAAAAAUAAAUAUUAAAAAUAAAUUCUCUCUCUCUAAAAAAUAAAUAAAUAAAUAAAUACUAAAAGAAACCAAAAAUAUAGAAGCAUUAGGAGAAAAAGUUGGCAAAUGCAAAAUCUUAGGAAGGAAAAUGUUUUUUUAAGCCUAACACUAAUGUCAGAAGCUGUAAAGGAAAAGUUAAUAGAUUUGACUACACAAAGACUAACAUGUAUAUAAAAAAUCAGUGCAGGGAUGGGGUUGCGCUCAGAGGCAGAGCGCUCGCCUAGCAUGUGUGAGGCACUGGAUUCGAUCAUCA